AUACGGAGGGGGUUAGCGUUGUUCGGAAUUACUGGGCGUAAAGCGUACGUAGGCGGACUGGAAAGUUGGGGGUGAAAUCCCGGGGCUCAACCCCGGAACUGCCUCCAAAACUUCCAAUCUAGAGAUCGAGAGAGGUGAGUGGAAUUCCAAGUGUAGAGGUGAAAUUCGUAGAUAUUUGGAGGAACACCAGUGGCGAAGGCGGCUCACUGGCUCGAUACUGACGCUGAGGUACGAAAGCGUGGGGAGCAAACAGGAUUAGAAACCCCAGUAGUCC
Molecule: ribosomal RNA, 274 nt
Filed under: uncultured bacterium
Lineage: Bacteria
Description: partial 16S ribosomal RNA
Rfam family: Bacterial small subunit ribosomal RNA
Source: RNAcentral